UACGAAGGGGGCUAGCGUUGUUCGGAAUCACUGGGCGUAAAGCGCACGUAGGCGGCGCGUUAAGUCAGGGGUGAAAUCCUGGAGCUCAACUCCAGAACUGCCUUUGAUACUGGCGUGCUCGAGUGUGGGAGAGGUUGGUGGAACUCCGAGUGUAGAGGUGAAAUUCGUAGAUAUUCGGAAGAACACCAGUGGCGAAGGCGGCCAACGGGCCCAUUAAUGACGAUGAGGUGCGAAAGCGUGGGGAGCAAACAGG
This 253-nucleotide ribosomal RNA is filed under the name uncultured bacterium. RNAcentral describes it as "partial 16S ribosomal RNA". It matches the Rfam family "Bacterial small subunit ribosomal RNA", at positions 524 to 776 of the family's 1533-position model. The record is from RNAcentral.